GGGUUGUUAGCUCAGUUGGUAGAGCAGCUGACUCUUAAUCAGCGGGUCGAGGGUUCAAGCCCCCCACAGCCCA
Brochothrix thermosphacta is the source of this 73-nucleotide non-coding RNA. The record is from Rfam. Lineage: Bacteria; Bacillati; Bacillota; Bacilli; Caryophanales; Listeriaceae.